GCGGGUAUAGCUCAGUGGCAGAGCACAUACUUAGCAAGUACAAGGUCCUGGGUUCAAUCCCCAGGACUUCCA
Molecule: transfer RNA, 72 nt
Filed under: Camelus bactrianus (Bactrian camel)
Lineage: Eukaryota; Metazoa; Chordata; Mammalia; Artiodactyla; Camelidae
Also listed under: 1 other name
Rfam family: tRNA
About the family: Transfer RNA (tRNA) molecules are approximately 80 nucleotides in length.
Source: Rfam by way of RNAcentral